AUUGAACGCUGGCGGCAUGCCUUACACAUGCAAGUCGAACGGCAGCACGGGUGCUUGCACCUGGUGGCGAGUGGCGAACGGGUGAGUAAUACAUCGGAACGUACCUUAUCGUGGGGGAUAACGCAGCGAAAGCUGUGCUAAUACCGCAUACGCCCUGAGGGGGAAAGCGGGGGAUCGAAAGACCUCGCGCGAUUAGAGCGGCCGAUGCCUGAUUAGCUUGUUGGGGGGUUAAAAGACCACCAAGGCGACGAUCAGUAGCUGGUCUGAGAGGACGAUCAGCCACACUGGGACUGAGACACGGCCCAGACUCCUACGGGAGGCAGCAGUGGGGAAUUUUGGACAAUGGGGGCAACCCUAAUCCAGCAAUGCCGCGUGAGUGAAGAAGGCCUUCGGGUUGUAAAGCUCUUUUGUCAGGGAAGAAACACCGGCUCUAACACAGUCCGGGAAUGACGGUACCUGAAGAAUAAGCACCGGCUAACUACGUGCCAGCCGCCGCGGUAA
This 501-nucleotide ribosomal RNA is filed under the name uncultured bacterium. Its description in RNAcentral is "partial 16S ribosomal RNA". It matches the Rfam family "Bacterial small subunit ribosomal RNA", at positions 29 to 523 of the family's 1533-position model. The record is from RNAcentral.